This is an unclassified non-coding RNA of Aotus nancymaae (Ma's night monkey), 299 nucleotides long. It matches the Rfam family "Metazoan signal recognition particle RNA". From Rfam's summary of the family: The signal recognition particle (SRP) is a universally conserved ribonucleoprotein. Lineage: Eukaryota; Metazoa; Chordata; Mammalia; Primates; Aotidae. The record is from Ensembl.
GCCAGGCCCGGUGGAGUGUGCCUAUAGUCCCAACUACUCAGGAGGCUGAGGUGGGAGAAUCGCUUGAGCCCAGGAGUUCUGGGCUGUAGUGAGCUAUGCCUAUCGGAUGUCCACACUAAGUUCGGCAACAAUAUGGUGACCUCCUGGGAGCGGGGGAACACCAGGUUGCCUAACGAGGGGUGAACUGGCCCAGGUUGGAAACGGAGCAGGUCAAAACUCCCGUGCUGAUCAGUAGUGGGAUCGUGCCUGUGAAUAGCCACUGAACUCCAGCCUGGGUAACAUAGUGAGACCCUGUCUCA